AUUGAACGCUGGCGGCAGGCCUAACACAUGCAAGUCGAGCGGAUGAAGGGAGCUUGCUCCUGGAUUCAGCGGCGGACGGGUGAGUAAUGCCUAGGAAUCUGCCUGGUAGUGGGGGAUAACGUCCGGAAACGGGCGCUAAUACCGCAUCCGUCCUGAGGGAGAAAGUGGGGGAUCUUCGGACCUCACGCUAUCAGAUGAGCCUAGGUCGGAUUAGCUAGUUGGUGGGGUAAAGGCCUACCAAGGCGACGAUCCGUAACUGGUCUGAGAGGAUGAUCAGUCACACUGGAACUGAGACACGGUCCAGACUCCUACGGGAGGCAGCAGUAGGGAAUCUUGGACAAUGGGCGAAAGCCUGAUCCAGCCAUGCCGCGUGUGUGAAGAAGGUCUUCGGAUUGUAAAGCACUUUAAGUUGGGAGGAAGGGCAGUAAGUUAAUACCUUGCUGUUUUGACGUUACCAACAGAAUAAGCACCGGCUAACUUCGUG
RNAcentral lists this ribosomal RNA (484 nucleotides) under uncultured bacterium. Its description in RNAcentral is "partial 16S ribosomal RNA". It matches the Rfam family "Bacterial small subunit ribosomal RNA", at positions 30 to 507 of the family's 1533-position model. The record is from RNAcentral.